GCAUUUGAUGAAACAAAACUCUGAUAUUGCUGUUUCUCUUUUUUUUUAUUAAUUUUUUUUUACGAAGUCUUGUUUGUUUGUCUGUUUUCUUUUAUCUGAAAUUUUAUUUGGAUGAGCAACCUUUAUGAUAUGUGCUUGCUUUUGUCAAAUUAUUUUGCACAAGUCAUAGUGAAAUGUCCAGAUACAUGUGACUCGUGAAAUGUAUGUGAGGAGAUUCAUGGAUUUAUUGGUGUAGUGACUUGAGAUGCAAUCAAAAUGCUUUCUGGAGAUAUGAGUUGAACUAUUCAGCAGUGUGGCUUUCUAAUUUAUGA
This 311-nucleotide unclassified non-coding RNA is filed under the name Hevea brasiliensis (rubber tree). The record is from RNAcentral. Lineage: Eukaryota; Viridiplantae; Streptophyta; Magnoliopsida; Malpighiales; Euphorbiaceae.